Molecule: ribosomal RNA, 2903 nt
Filed under: Escherichia coli
Lineage: Bacteria; Pseudomonadati; Pseudomonadota; Gammaproteobacteria; Enterobacterales; Enterobacteriaceae
Description: bacterial LSU rRNA
Rfam family: Bacterial large subunit ribosomal RNA
Source: RNAcentral
UUAAGCGACUAAGCGUACACGGUGGAUGCCCUGGCAGUCAGAGGCGAUGAAGGACGUGCUAAUCUGCGAUAAGCGUCGGUAAGGUGAUAUGAACCGUUAUAACCGGCGAUUUCCGAAUGGGGAAACCCAGUGUGUUUCGACACACUAUCAUUAACUGAAUCCAUAGGUUAAUGAGGCGAACCGGGGGAACUGAAACAUCUAAGUACCCCGAGGAAAAGAAAUCAACCGAGAUUCCCCCAGUAGCGGCGAGCGAACGGGGAGCAGCCCAGAGCCUGAAUCAGUGUGUGUGUUAGUGGAAGCGUCUGGAAAGGCGCGCGAUACAGGGUGACAGCCCCGUACACAAAAAUGCACAUGCUGUGAGCUCGAUGAGUAGGGCGGGACACGUGGUAUCCUGUCUGAAUAUGGGGGGACCAUCCUCCAAGGCUAAAUACUCCUGACUGACCGAUAGUGAACCAGUACCGUGAGGGAAAGGCGAAAAGAACCCCGGCGAGGGGAGUGAAAAAGAACCUGAAACCGUGUACGUACAAGCAGUGGGAGCCUCUUUAUGGGGUGACUGCGUACCUUUUGUAUAAUGGGUCAGCGACUUAUAUUCUGUAGCAAGGUUAACCGAAUAGGGGAGCCGAAGGGAAACCGAGUCUUAACUGGGCGUUAAGUUGCAGGGUAUAGACCCGAAACCCGGUGAUCUAGCCAUGGGCAGGUUGAAGGUUGGGUAACACUAACUGGAGGACCGAACCGACUAAUGUUGAAAAAUUAGCGGAUGACUUGUGGCUGGGGGUGAAAGGCCAAUCAAACCGGGAGAUAGCUGGUUCUCCCCGAAAGCUAUUUAGGUAGCGCCUCGUGAAUUCAUCUCCGGGGGUAGAGCACUGUUUCGGCAAGGGGGUCAUCCCGACUUACCAACCCGAUGCAAACUGCGAAUACCGGAGAAUGUUAUCACGGGAGACACACGGCGGGUGCUAACGUCCGUCGUGAAGAGGGAAACAACCCAGACCGCCAGCUAAGGUCCCAAAGUCAUGGUUAAGUGGGAAACGAUGUGGGAAGGCCCAGACAGCCAGGAUGUUGGCUUAGAAGCAGCCAUCAUUUAAAGAAAGCGUAAUAGCUCACUGGUCGAGUCGGCCUGCGCGGAAGAUGUAACGGGGCUAAACCAUGCACCGAAGCUGCGGCAGCGACGCUUAUGCGUUGUUGGGUAGGGGAGCGUUCUGUAAGCCUGCGAAGGUGUGCUGUGAGGCAUGCUGGAGGUAUCAGAAGUGCGAAUGCUGACAUAAGUAACGAUAAAGCGGGUGAAAAGCCCGCUCGCCGGAAGACCAAGGGUUCCUGUCCAACGUUAAUCGGGGCAGGGUGAGUCGACCCCUAAGGCGAGGCCGAAAGGCGUAGUCGAUGGGAAACAGGUUAAUAUUCCUGUACUUGGUGUUACUGCGAAGGGGGGACGGAGAAGGCUAUGUUGGCCGGGCGACGGUUGUCCCGGUUUAAGCGUGUAGGCUGGUUUUCCAGGCAAAUCCGGAAAAUCAAGGCUGAGGCGUGAUGACGAGGCACUACGGUGCUGAAGCAACAAAUGCCCUGCUUCCAGGAAAAGCCUCUAAGCAUCAGGUAACAUCAAAUCGUACCCCAAACCGACACAGGUGGUCAGGUAGAGAAUACCAAGGCGCUUGAGAGAACUCGGGUGAAGGAACUAGGCAAAAUGGUGCCGUAACUUCGGGAGAAGGCACGCUGAUAUGUAGGUGAAGCGACUUGCUCGUGGAGCUGAAAUCAGUCGAAGAUACCAGCUGGCUGCAACUGUUUAUUAAAAACACAGCACUGUGCAAACACGAAAGUGGACGUAUACGGUGUGACGCCUGCCCGGUGCCGGAAGGUUAAUUGAUGGGGUUAGCGGUAACGCGAAGCUCUUGAUCGAAGCCCCGGUAAACGGCGGCCGUAACUAUAACGGUCCUAAGGUAGCGAAAUUCCUUGUCGGGUAAGUUCCGACCUGCACGAAUGGCGUAAUGAUGGCCAGGCUGUCUCCACCCGAGACUCAGUGAAAUUGAACUCGCUGUGAAGAUGCAGUGUACCCGCGGCAAGACGGAAAGACCCCGUGAACCUUUACUAUAGCUUGACACUGAACAUUGAGCCUUGAUGUGUAGGAUAGGUGGGAGGCUUUGAAGUGUGGACGCCAGUCUGCAUGGAGCCGACCUUGAAAUACCACCCUUUAAUGUUUGAUGUUCUAACGUUGGCCCCUGAUCGGGGUUGCGGACAGUGUCUGGUGGGUAGUUUGACUGGGGCGGUCUCCUCCUAAAGAGUAACGGAGGAGCACGAAGGUUGGCUAAUCCUGGUCGGACAUCAGGAGGUUAGUGCAAUGGCAUAAGCCAGCUUGACUGCGAGCGUGACGGCGCGAGCAGGUGCGAAAGCAGGUCAUAGUGAUCCGGUGGUUCUGAAUGGAAGGGCCAUCGCUCAACGGAUAAAAGGUACUCCGGGGAUAACAGGCUGAUACCGCCCAAGAGUUCAUAUCGACGGCGGUGUUUGGCACCUCGAUGUCGGCUCAUCACAUCCUGGGGCUGAAGUAGGUCCCAAGGGUAUGGCUGUUCGCCAUUUAAAGUGGUACGCGAGCUGGGUUUAGAACGUCGUGAGACAGUUCGGUCCCUAUCUGCCGUGGGCGCUGGAGAACUGAGGGGGGCUGCUCCUAGUACGAGAGGACCGGAGUGGACGCAUCACUGGUGUUCGGGUUGUCAUGCCAAUGGCACUGCCCGGUAGCUAAAUGCGGAAGAGAUAAGUGCUGAAAGCAUCUAAGCACGAAACUUGCCCCGAGAUGAGUUCUCCCUGAGACUUUAAGUCUCCUGAAGGAACGUUGAAGACGACGACGUUGAUAGGCCGGGUGUGUAAGCGCAGCGAUGCGUUGAGCUAACCGGUACUAAUGAACCGUGAGGCUUAACCUU